Dermacentor albipictus is the source of this 1164-nucleotide non-coding RNA. The record is from RefSeq and is a predicted model, not a curated record. NCBI's taxonomy places the organism in Eukaryota, Metazoa, Arthropoda, Arachnida, Ixodida, Ixodidae.
CCGUGUGACUAAUGUUUGUCAAAUCUACAUCGGGCGAGGUGCGCCUGCAUAGUUACGCUUUGUUUCGCAGCGCUUGAACGUUCAUUGAUGUGAUUCUCUUGUGCGUUCAGCGCGGCUGCUGGUAAUACGGUCGUUCGCACUUCAGUUAAAUGUGGUCGACCACUUUUGCGUCGCGUAGAAAAAGGACUGGCUUAGCCACCUUUCGAAGGAACCGGCGCGGUAUUGGUUCUCCCUGAUGCGGUCGCGUGCUGCUGUUGCUGCUUGCCGGACGCCUUCAGCAUUUUUUCGGCUCGCUUUCUCUGUGCGUGUGCGCGUGCUCGCGCUCGGCUUGAUUUGUGUGUGCGCUCAGCUCAGCUCGCUUUGUGUGUGUGUGUGUGUGUGUGUGUGUGUGCGUGCGUGCGUGCGCUCGGCUCGCUGUGUGUGUGUGCGUGUGUGCGUGCGUUCAGUACAUGCCGGUUUGUAUGGGCCGGCGUGUUUGCGCGUGUCUAGUGCGUACGUGUAUUGUGAGUGUGUUGUCUGUGGGUCGCUGUGUGUGCGUGCACGUGUUAGCGUGUCUGCCUGCAUGCAUGUAUGUGUGCUUGUUUGUGUUCAUCAAUGUGCGCGUGCGCGCUUUUGUGUCUGCGCUUUGAGAGUGCGUAUACUUGUGUGUGCGUGUGGGUGCGUUUUGUGUGCGUGCGUAUGUAUUGCAUGAGGCCGGUAGAAUUUUACUCGCAAUAAAACUCUUCCGAUUUGGUGCAGCGAGUGUUCCCUCCUGAAAGCCGAGUUUGGUUUCAAGCCACCCUGGACAACUGCUGUAUGAGGCGCCGUUUCUCGGGAGGACCAGUGGGAAGGCGCCAGGUCAUGCAGAUGGUAGCAGCAAUUUCACAAUGCCCAGCCUUGGCGCCCCCCAUCAAUAGCAAGCCAUUUGCGUUCGCCUUCACACAGAUGGUUAAUGUCUUCUUGAAAGCGGUUGAGAAGACAACAUUGAUGCAAGAUUCCAGCAAUGCCGUGCGCUGCAUUUAUUGGUCAAGAUGCUCAGAGAAUGGAGUCCCUGCACCUCGUGGUUAACCGUGAACAUUUCUUUUUCUUUUGGAAAGCUAAAGGCCAUUUGCUGCAUCACUUGCAUUUUUGCAGCUCAGAUGUGUACUAUAUUUUUCUAAUUUUGAAUCAAUACUGGCUGUUCAG